CCUACGGGAGGCAGCAGUGGGGAAUAUUGCACAAUGGGGGAAACCCUGAUGCAGCGACGCCGCGUGAGUGAAGAAGUAUUUCGGUAUGUAAAGCUCUAUCAGCAGGGAAGAAGCAAGACGGUACCUGACUAAGAAGCCCCGGCUAACUACGUGCCAGCAGCCGCGGUAAUACGUAGGGGGCAAGCGUUAUCCGGAUUUACUGGGUGUAAAGGGAGCGUAGACGGUAUGGCAAGUCUGAAGUGAAAGCCCAGGGCUUAACCCUGGGACUGCUUUGGAAACUGUUAGACUAGAGUGCUGGAGAGGUAAGUGGAAUUCCUAGUGUAGCGGUGAAAUGCGUAGAUAUUAGGAGGAACACCAGUGGCGAAGGCGGCUUACUGGACAGUAACUGACGUUGAGGCUCGAAAGCGUGGGGAGCAAACAGGAUUAGAUACCCCUGUA
RNAcentral lists this ribosomal RNA (438 nucleotides) under uncultured bacterium. RNAcentral's name for it is "bacterial SSU rRNA". It matches the Rfam family "Bacterial small subunit ribosomal RNA", at positions 338 to 792 of the family's 1533-position model. The record is from RNAcentral.